RNAcentral lists this ribosomal RNA (424 nucleotides) under uncultured bacterium. RNAcentral's name for it is "partial 16S ribosomal RNA". It matches the Rfam family "Bacterial small subunit ribosomal RNA", at positions 28 to 526 of the family's 1533-position model. The record is from RNAcentral.
GACGAACGCUGGCGGCGCGCUUAACACAUGCAAGUCGAGCGAAGCGGCGGACGGGUGAGUAACACGUGAGUAACCUGCCUUAGACAUUGGGAUAGCCUCGGGAAACCGGGAAUAAUACCAAAUGGUCUAAGAUGGACUCGCGUCACAUUAGCUGGUUGGUGAGGUAACGGCCCACCAAGGCGACGAUGGGUAGCCGGCCUGAGAGUGUGAACGGCCACAUUGGGACUGAGAUACGGCCCAGGCUCUACGGGAGGCAGCAGUGGGGGAUAUUGCGCAAUGGUCGAAAGCCUGAUGCGGCGACGCCGCGUGGGGGAUGAAGGCUUUCGGGUUGUAAACCUCUUUCGCUAUGGCUCACUAUAGGGUGGGUUGAGGGUAGGUGGAGAAGAAGCGCCGGCUAACUACGUGCCAGCCGCCGCGGUAAUUC